AUUGAUAACAUUUGAGUGAGUGGCGGACGGUUAGUAACACGUGGGUAACCUGCCCUAAAUGGGGGAUAACAUUUGGAAACAGAUGCUAAUACCGUAUAACAAUGACAACCGCAUGGUUGUUAUUUAAAAGAUGGUUCUGCUAUCACUAAGAGAUGGUCCCGCGGUGCAUUAGCUAGUUGGUAAGGUAAUGGCUUACCAAGGCGAUGAUGCAUAGCCCGAGUUGAGAGACUGAUCGGCCACAAUGGGACUGAGACACGGCCCAUACUCC
This 268-nucleotide ribosomal RNA is filed under the name uncultured Weissella sp. RNAcentral's name for it is "partial 16S ribosomal RNA". It matches the Rfam family "Bacterial small subunit ribosomal RNA", at positions 75 to 339 of the family's 1533-position model. The record is from RNAcentral. Lineage: Bacteria; Bacillati; Bacillota; Bacilli; Lactobacillales; Lactobacillaceae.